UCCAGUACCUACACGGCUACACCCAUCCAACACGGCAACACAGCUCAGUCUUUCUGAAUCAUCUCCGUCAUCUCACAUGAUCAACCUUCUUCCAACUUCUUCUCUUCUCUUGCAUUCCGUCAUCUCGCUUCCAACCCAUCCAACACGGCAACACAACUCAGCCUUUCUGAACCAUCUUCGUCAUCUCGCAUCAUCAGCACAACGUCCUGCCAUUCUUCAAGACCAUAUCCUAUUCAUCUCAUCCUAAUUGAUGCAGAGAGCAUAAGCUGUCUUUAAGGAAGUUUUUUGGCACAAAGUUGAUUUAGCCUAAGAGUGGGUAGCAUCUAUGUGGUGUGAAGUAUAUGAUGUUUGAAAGGAGGUUCAGGUUCCCUUAACAGACAUGUGAUUGGAUUGGGCAGUUUUUUUCUCCAUUAUGCUCUUAUAUUUCCCAUUUUGUGUUUUCCUCUUCAAUUAAGUAGGAUUUGUUGUCCUCCUAGCUCAUUGUGUUUCCUUCUCUUUGUUUUGAUUAUUUUUUAAAUAUAAAAUACGGAUAUGCUUUUGGUUAUGUUUGGGGGAUCAAUAUCGGUCCUUUUGAAGAUAAAAAAAUGUUGAGAGAUGGCUCGCGAAUUACGAUUUUUCAAGGAACAAAUGUUGAAGGCAGGUGUUUCACCAAAACUGUCUGCAACACAGGUUGUUGUGAACAUUGAUAACCUUGAGGUAAAACUUUUAGAGAUCGAGUUAGAGUUAACUGAGAUGAAUGCAAAUGGUGAAAAAUUGCAAUGAACUUGUGGAGUAUAAGCGUGUUCUGCAGAAGAGCCUUUUGUAACUGAGAAAAAGCUGCGUAGUACAGACUAUAAGAUUAUGCUUUCUAAAUCAAUGAUGGAGAAAUGGGGGUUCUCCAACGGAUGAGCUAAUGUUGGACAUGUCACAGAUUGAGAAGCUCUCAUACCUAGCUUCUUGAUGUGGAGGAGUGUGUGUGGUGUUCGUGGUUGGAAUAGGAUUGUCAGAUCUGGUUUUUUUUUUUGCUGUGCUUUUCUUGGGUUAGAGUUCUUCCUCUACAAGAUAGAAAAUGCUGCAGAGAAAUUGCUAUUCUUCAUCCCUAACUGGACUUUAAUGUACAUAGUGAAUGCAUUUGUGGCGAUUUGGGUUUUGGUGGUGGGCCAACAUGACAAACUUCAGUAUGCAGGUUGAUACAUUCAGAUUAUUUGCAAAGUGCUAUUUUCUAUGUACCUUUUUUCUUCUUUUAUUUUACUUUAGCAGAAUGUCAGCAGGCCAAGCUUUGAUCAUAAUUCAUAACUGAUAACCAACUGCUGACACUUUUCUUCUAGAAAUGAAACUUAUUCAGCAUCAAGUAUGAAGUAAUUUAACCAUGCCGCUAUCCUGUAAUAUUUUGUUGAUCUACAAGCGCAACCUCAUAACUUCUAGCUUUUGGAUAGGAGAACAAUGACGAUUCAGGAUUUCAGAGGGAAAGCACUGGUCACCAAGGGGAGGCAGAGGCAGAGUUGAAGAAGCCAGUACUAGCACAUUGCUUCCAGCUGCAUCUUCUAUAGACAUGGGAUCUCCUAUAACUCCCAAGUACGCAGUUUACCUUUUAAUAGGACGAAAAAGAAUCAUGAGAGAAUUCUUUUACAAGGAGAAAUGAGACAAAGAAGAAAGAAGAGGAGGGGAAACUCCGAUGGUUUAGUGUUGUAUUCAAAGGACACAUAUCUCAUGUGUUAGAGCAUCUAGCCAUAGUAAUAACGACUGGUUACAUAUGGAGCUUUACAACCUUCAGUGAUUGGAAUCAGAAAAAUGCUGCAGUGGGGUUUUCUCUGCACUUGGCUUUCUUAUAGGUUUUUCUAUUGUUUCCUUUUCCAUCAUAUUUGGAAUUCAGAAUGAAAAAUGAAAAAUUGGCUACUGAGAUUUCGCGCAGUCAGAAAUUCAUAGACACAAAGGGGUUCAACUGGAAAGUCGUUUCGAUCCAAUCCAUUAUUGGGGUCAAAUGAAGACAAAGGAUAUUAUGGAAAAAUAACUCAUAUUGACCUAAAGGUUCCGCCAAGGCCUCCUAGCUAUGCGUUUGUAGAGUUUGAAGACACUCAAGAUGCUGAGGAUGCAAUUCGUGGGUGCGAUGGUUAUGAUUUUGAUGGUCACUGUUUACAGAGACACUACAGCAAGUUUCUGAAGAAGAAACCUCCCUGGGCUUCCCUUGAGGAAAAAUUUGAAGAAGAAGAAAUGGAGCAGAAGCUAGAGCUUUUCUUGCAAACAAGUUGUAAAAGCAAAAACGGUAGAUCAAAAAGCCAUUGAGAAUGUUGUCUCACAUGAAAAAGGUAGAAGUCUCAGUUUAAGAUUCAAAUGAUACUGAAAGUUGAGGAGUUUGCAUCUCUAACUGGAAAAAUCAAGGAAUCUGAAGAUUUGUUUGAGACGACAUAAGCAGCUUCCAUGGUUCAGGUGGAAGUAAUCAACACAAGGAAGAAAUAAAGGCUGCAAAAUACUUGGUUUUGAGGAAUGCAUGCAGAGAUAGCAGAUUCUAAAAGACCUGCCAUUUACUUUUUUCGCUUUUACUUGCGCAAUUGUUGGAGUUUGAUGAGUCAAAGACCUGCAAAUUCAUCCCAAGAAGAUGUUAUGCUAAAAGUCAGCUUGCCCAACCAAUACUUCUGAGUCACAAAAGAGAUGAUUUUUUAUAUUUGGGAAUGACUUUUUAAGCUAACUUAUUUAGCAGCCCACCUAUGUAACAUAUUGUGAUUAAAUGAAAUGUGUUCAUGUUGUUUUUCA
Long non-coding RNA from Lotus japonicus, 2730 nucleotides. RefSeq lists it as uncharacterized. The transcript has 12 exons. The record is from RefSeq and is a predicted model, not a curated record. Lineage: Eukaryota; Viridiplantae; Streptophyta; Magnoliopsida; Fabales; Fabaceae.